RNAcentral lists this ribosomal RNA (451 nucleotides) under uncultured bacterium. RNAcentral describes it as "partial 16S ribosomal RNA". It matches the Rfam family "Bacterial small subunit ribosomal RNA", at positions 354 to 796 of the family's 1533-position model. The record is from RNAcentral.
GUGGGGAAUUUUGGACAAUGGGGGGAACCCUGAUCCAGCCAUGCCGCGUGUGUGAAGAAGGCCUUUUGGUUGUAAAGCACUUUAAGCGAGGAGGAGGCUACCGAGAUUAAUACUCUUGGAUAGUGGACGUUACUCGCAGAAUAAGCACCGGCUAACUCUGUGCCAGCAGCCGCGGUAAUACAGAGGGUGCAAGCGUUAAUCGGAUUUACUGGGCGUAAAGCGCGCGUAGGUGGCCAAUUAAGUCAAAUGUGAAAUCCCCGAGCUUAACUUGGGAAUUGCAUUCGAUACUGGUUGGCUAGAGUAUGGGAGAGGAUGGUAGAAUUCCAGGUGUAGCGGUGAAAUGCGUAGAGAUCUGGAGGAAUACCGAUGGCGAAGGCAGCCAUCUGGCCUAAUACUGACACUGAGGUGCGAAAGCAUGGGGAGCAAACAGGAUUAGAUACCCCUGUAGUCC